This 503-nucleotide ribosomal RNA is filed under the name uncultured bacterium. RNAcentral's name for it is "bacterial SSU rRNA". It matches the Rfam family "Bacterial small subunit ribosomal RNA", at positions 28 to 525 of the family's 1533-position model. The record is from RNAcentral.
GACGAACGCUGGCGGCGUGGAUUAGGCAUGCAAGUCGAACGGUAUCAUCCUUUCGGGGGUGAGAGAGUGGCGAACUGGUGAGUAACACGUAGGUUAUCUACCCUCAAGACGGGGACAACCCAGGGAAACUUGGGCUAAUACCGGAUGUGAGCAACUUUUAGUUGUUUGAAAGGUGGCGUAAGCUGUCGCUUGGGGAUGAGCCUGCGUCCUAUUAGUUAGUUGGUGAGGUAACGGCUCACCUAGGCAAUGAUAGGUAGGCGGCCUUAACGGGUGGUCGCCCACACUGGGAUUGAGAUACGGCCCAGACUCCUACGGGAGGCAGCAGUCGAGAAUAGUCUACAAUGGUCGGAAGACUGAUAGUGCGACGCCGCGUGAACGAUGAAUCCCUUCGGGGUUAAAGUUCUUUUAUAUGUGAGCAGUGCUUCUUAUAUUAACAGUAUGGGGAAGAGAUAUUAGCAUAUGAAUAAGCAACGGCUAACUCCGUGCCAGCAGCCGCGGUAAAA